AAAAUAAUUCCUAAAUUUAGUCUUCCAUGACUGCAUCACUUAUAUUGGCACAGUAGCUUAGCCUUCCUUUCAUUGGCAAUGCAGAACAACCCGUGUGAAAUCUUUCUUUUUCUUUCCAGGUUUUCUUGUUUAUCCACCAAUAUUUGAAUGCUAAUAUCUUACAAUCCUAGGAUCCAUUUUAGGCAUAUGACUACCAUUGAGAUGAUCAUGUACCACACUACAAGUUGAGACUGAUUCCAAUAAGUUAUAUGAUUUAAAGAGAAGAUUUCAGUCACCUAAAAUUGUCAUUGACAAUUCUAUCAAUGUUGCUAAGUUGACAUAAAAGAGCUUCAAAACAAUUUCUUAUAUGAACUAAAAUAGGCUCUAAAAGAGCUUGUGGAGCUUACGUUACAUAUAUUGUGUUUGGAUCAUUUAUUAAAUGAGUCUAUAAUUUGUUUAAGCUUGUUGAUUCCCACAUUAA
This 460-nucleotide unclassified non-coding RNA is filed under the name Hevea brasiliensis (rubber tree). The record is from RNAcentral. Lineage: Eukaryota; Viridiplantae; Streptophyta; Magnoliopsida; Malpighiales; Euphorbiaceae.